GGUCAUUUAGAGGAAGUAAAAGUCGUAACAAGGUUUCCGUAGGUGAACCUGCGGAAGGAUCAUUAUCGAAAUCGAAAGCCUAGGAGAAAGGGGGGGGGAUGCGGGGCUGUCGCUGGCCUCUUUGGCAUGUGCACGCGUUGGUCCCUCUCCCGCCUUCGAAGCUUUCAACUUCUCAACACCUGUGUGCACCCGCUGUAGGUCCUUCGGGACCUAUGUCUUCUCUUCCGAACUCGCAUGUCUACAGAAUGUGUAUGCGUCGCGUUGGCGACUGCGAAACCUUUGUACAACUUUCAGCAAUGGAUCUCUUGGCUCUCGCAUCGAUGAAGAACGCAGCGAAUCGCGAUAAGUAAUGUGAAUUGCAGAUUUUCCGUGAAUCAUCGAAUCUUUGAACGCACCUUGCGCUCCUUGGUAUUCCGAGGAGCAUGCCUGUUUGAGUGUCAUCGAAAUAUCGGACCGAAUGACUUCGAUGCUGUCGGAGCUCGGUUUCGGAUGUUGGGAGUGGUGCGGGCGGCAACGUCGGCUCUCCUCAAAAGCAUUAGCUGUGGGCGCGAGCCUCGCAUGGCACGGCCGCUUUGACGUCGUAAUGAUCGUCGUGGGCUUGGAAGUGCGUGGGUUGACGUGUCUCCACGCUUCGAAACCUUCUGCGAGUCCGUCCGUCGUCCGGACGGUCGCACGUAUCGAUGCUUGACCUCAAAUCAGGUAGGACUACCCGCUGAACUUAAGCAUAUCAAUAAGCGGAGGAA
RNAcentral lists this ribosomal RNA (743 nucleotides) under Scleroderma bermudense. Its description in RNAcentral is "eukaryotic LSU rRNA". The stretch from base 286 to 440 matches the Rfam family "5.8S ribosomal RNA". The record is from RNAcentral. Lineage: Eukaryota; Fungi; Basidiomycota; Agaricomycetes; Boletales; Sclerodermataceae.